CUUCUCUGUGAGGAGAGUCCCUCGCCCCUUCUUCAGAUUUGGGAAUGGACUCUCGGGCACCUGAAGCGCCUGCUCAGGAUCAGGCCGGCACCUGGACAUGAAUCCCAAACAGAAAGCCUGAGCCCUGCCUGGCGCUUUCGCGGCUGCUGGCACGGCUGCGCAGAAACGCCAGCGUCCCUGGACCGAGCGCGGGGAGGGGCAGGCUUCCAGCAGCGCUGUCCACUGGGAAGAAGACACAACCCACAUUUUUAGAUUUUCCAGUUUCCACGUUGAAAAAGCAAAAAGACAUGAGAUUGAUUUGUGACCCAGUGUAUCAAAAAUAUUAUUUAACCGAUUAAUCAAUAUGAACAAUUGUUCAUUAGAUAUUUUACUUGUUUUUAGGACUACGUUUUCAAAAUCCGGUGAGAAUUUUAUACUCACAGCACAUCUCAGCGCUGCAGCUCACGCAGGGGCGCCUCCAGCGUCAGGCUUUCUGGGCUCCUGGCUGCGUGCUGCUGGGCACGUUGCUUAAUAUGGCAAAGUCCCCAUUUUUCUCAUCCAGAAAACGGAGAUCAAAGUACAGGUGCCAAUUUCAUAGGACUACAGUGAAGAUCAAAUGAGAGAGCUCAGCCAAGAAUAUAAGACCCAUGCAUGGUCUGUGGAAGUCUCGUGGUCUUUAAGGCUUUCUCCAGCUACACAACUUUAGAUCAAGUCACAGGAACCUGAAGGACACCACAGGUGCUUCCAGCAAGGGCAUCUGGAAGGCCUGUGGUCCGCGGUGGCUCAGGAAGGUAAG
RNAcentral lists this long non-coding RNA (775 nucleotides) under Homo sapiens (human). Its description in RNAcentral is "HSALNT0305825". The record is from RNAcentral. Lineage: Eukaryota; Metazoa; Chordata; Mammalia; Primates; Hominidae.